This 89-nucleotide ribosomal RNA is filed under the name Microphallus ochotensis. RNAcentral describes it as "partial 5.8S ribosomal RNA". It matches the Rfam family "5.8S ribosomal RNA", at positions 22 to 107 of the family's 154-position model. From Rfam's summary of the family: 5.8S ribosomal RNA (5.8S rRNA) is a component of the large subunit of the eukaryotic ribosome. It is transcribed by RNA polymerase I as part of the 45S precursor that also contains 18S and 28S rRNA. Lineage: Eukaryota; Metazoa; Platyhelminthes; Trematoda; Plagiorchiida; Microphallidae. The record is from RNAcentral.
CACGUGGCUAGUGUGUCGAUGAAGAGCGUAGCCAGCUACGUGAAUUAAUGUGAACUGCAUACUGCUUUGAACAUCGACAUCUUGAACGC